This 499-nucleotide ribosomal RNA is filed under the name uncultured bacterium. RNAcentral's name for it is "bacterial SSU rRNA". It matches the Rfam family "Bacterial small subunit ribosomal RNA", at positions 899 to 1397 of the family's 1533-position model. The record is from RNAcentral.
ACUCAAAUGAAUUGACGGGGGCCCGCACAAGCGGUGGAGCAUGUGGUUUAAUUCGAAGCAACGCGAAGAACCUUACCAAAUCUUGACAUCCAACUGACCGCUCCGUAAAAGGAGCUUUCCUUCGGGACAGUUGAGACAGGUGGUGCAUGGUUGUCGUCAGCUCGUGUCGUGAGAUGUUGGGUUAAGUCCCGCAACGAGCGCAACCCUUAUCUUUAGUAGCCAGCGAGUAAAGUCGGGAACUUUAGAGAGACUGCCGGGGAUAACUCGGAGGAAGGUGGGGAUGACGUCAAAUCAUCAUGCCCCUUAUGAUUUGGGCUACACACGUGCUACAAUGGUUGCAACAAAGGGAAGCGAAGCAGUGAUGCGAAGCAAACCUCAAAAAAGCAAUCACAGUUCGGAUUGUAGUCUGCAACUCGACUACAUGAAGCUGGAAUCGCUAGUAAUCGCGAAUCAGAAUGUCGCGGUGAAUACGUUCCCGGGCCUUGUACACACCGCCCGU